CCGAAUAUAGCUCAGCGGUAGAGCGGGAGACUGUAGUGCAUAUAUAGUAAUCUCUAGGUCCCUGGUUCAAAUCCGGGUGUUCGGA
Molecule: transfer RNA, 85 nt
Filed under: Smittium simulii
Lineage: Eukaryota; Fungi; Kickxellomycota; Harpellomycetes; Harpellales; Legeriomycetaceae
Rfam family: tRNA
About the family: Transfer RNA (tRNA) molecules are approximately 80 nucleotides in length. Their secondary structure includes four short double-helical elements and three loops (D, anti-codon, and T loops).
Source: Rfam by way of RNAcentral